Long non-coding RNA from Carassius carassius (crucian carp), 352 nucleotides. RefSeq lists it as uncharacterized. The record is from RefSeq and is a predicted model, not a curated record. NCBI's taxonomy places the organism in Eukaryota, Metazoa, Chordata, Actinopteri, Cypriniformes, Cyprinidae. The transcript has 3 exons.
GGUUUCUGGUUCCUCUUGUUUUAUUCUCACGGUUUCUGGUUCCUCUUGUUUUAUUCUCACGGUUUCUGGUUCCUCUGGUUUUAUUCUCCAGGUUUCUGGUUCCUCUUGUUUUAUUCUCCAGGUUUCUGGUUCACUCGUGUCCUCUUCUCUCUCCUCUUUAACAAACAUCAUUUUCACAGCAGCAGAUCUCAGUUCAGCUGAUACUCCUCCAGAUAUUCCUGCUUGAUUCAAAACUUAGGAAGACGACUGUGAAGAUGAAAAUAUUACAGGUAGGCCUAUUUACUGACGUGACUCAUAAACUGUAUUUUUCUCUUAAAAUAAAAAUUUCUAACUGUUUGUAUUAAGGCAGCAU